This is a small nuclear RNA of Bison bison bison, 107 nucleotides long. NCBI's taxonomy places the organism in Eukaryota, Metazoa, Chordata, Mammalia, Artiodactyla, Bovidae. The record is from Ensembl.
GUGCUCACUUCGGCAGCACAUAUACUAAAAUUAGAAUGAUACAGAGAAGAUUAGCAUAGCCCCUGUGCAUGAAUGACAUGAAAAUCUGCGAAGUGUUCCAUAUUUUA